Molecule: long non-coding RNA, 1386 nt
Filed under: Vulpes vulpes (red fox)
Lineage: Eukaryota; Metazoa; Chordata; Mammalia; Carnivora; Canidae
Description: lncRNA (ENSVVUG00000020830.1)
Source: RNAcentral
CAGCAGUGUCCUUAGUUGGUUCUGAAGGGCAUUUUGCACAGUGUUUAGCAAUGAUUUGGGCCAUAUUACUUCUCAUUCUCCAAGUCUGGUCCUCCAAGUUUUUAGGCAAUUUUGUAUUUAUUUUCUGCUAUAAUCAGCCCAAACCCAUUUCUUUUGCUCUGGAACUUAGAAGUGAUCUAGUCAACUUACAUGGUAAGCAAUCAUCUAUAGCAAAAAUUUAGAGUAAAAUUAGACCAAGAUUGAUUGAACAUUCAUGUUUCAAACUGCAGAAAAUCUUGGAGUUUUUUUAGACAAUAAUAUUAAUGUUACUACUGCUAAUAAAAGAUAGCUUUAUUGAGAAACUACUGUAUGUCAUGAUCUGUAUUAAGCCUUUAUAUGAAAAAAAAAAGCCUUUAUAUGCAUUAUUUCCUGUAAUUCAAGGAAGAUAUAGGAACUCAAAUCUGAUGAAAAUAAGCCAGAUGAAAAAACAUGGCCUAUAAUCUAGUGGAGGAGGAGGAGGAUGAUGACGAUGACAAUGAUGAAGAUUAUGAUGACAAUGAUGUUGGUAAUGAUGAUAAUGAUGGCAAUGACAAUGAUGAUGACAAUGACAAUAAUGAUGAUUAUGAUGAUGACAGUGAUGUUGACAAUGAUGAUGAUGACAACAUCUGGAAUGUGGAGAAUCACAGUUAGGGUCAACCGCCUAUAUAACAGAGCUUGUUUGAAGUGUCUCAAGUCCCAGGCUCUAAUGGACCCCAACUCUGAUAAAUCACCUUCAUGCUCAGAAGGAAAGAUAAGACUUAUGCAACUAUUGCUUAUAGUGAUAACCUCUACAUCUCCUGGAAUUAGCCUCAACUUAGUGAGGGAUGGGAAGGCAAAGCCCUUUCAAACUCAGACCUUUGAAGUCAAGGAGAAGAGUCGGGAUAAUCGCAAAAUACAUCAAUGAACAAUACACAGCCAGACAGUGGGACAACUGGGAAGGUGGGAGAUGUUCACUGUGGGUUUCAGUGUCCAGGAAGCAAUCCCCACAAGAGGAAGGAGACUGAAAGAGACAAAUGGGAAUCCUUUGAUCUGGGAGAAGAGGAAAGCAUGAGAGAGCAGUGCACACAAUUCCAGGAAGGGAACAUUCAGAGCCUCUUUGGGGGAACUUAGUGGACCAGCCCGACAGCAGUGCAGAAGGUAAGAUUAUAGGCUAAUUCAGUGAAGUUGUUCAGGAUCUCCAGGAAUAUCCAGGACUUUAAGCAUCUUUUAAAACCAGGAAUUAACACGCAAAGUGACACUUUAAGAACGUGCUCUUGUGGUUGAAAUGCUGGUAAAAAGCUGCAAAAGUAAGCUUUCUCUCUCUGCCAUUCUGUCUUUCACCGGACCCCGGAGGAACCUGUAUGUGAAUAGAAAGCCUACAUGUUACCC